This 274-nucleotide ribosomal RNA is filed under the name uncultured bacterium. RNAcentral's name for it is "partial 16S ribosomal RNA". It matches the Rfam family "Bacterial small subunit ribosomal RNA", at positions 523 to 796 of the family's 1533-position model. The record is from RNAcentral.
AUACAGAGGCUGCAAGCGUUAAUCGGAAUUACUGGGCGUAAAGCGCGCGUAGGUGGUUAGUUAAGUUGGAUGUGAAAGCCCUGGGCUCAACCUGGGAAUGGCAUUCAAAACUGGCUGACUAGAGUAUGGUAGAGGGAAGGGGAAUUCCAGGUGUAGCGGUGAAAUGCGUAGAUAUCUGGAGGAACAUCAGUGGCGAAGGCGCCUUCCUGGACUAAUACUGACACUGAGGUGCGAAAGCGUGGGUAGCAAACAGGAUUAGAAACCCUAGUAGUCC